UUUAAAAAAAGUGGAAAAAAACAAACAAAGAGGUAAAGAUGGACCAAUGAAAAAAGGAGGAAGAAAGAAAAAUAAAGAGAGCUCUUUUCUCCACGAGGACUCUAAUUGGUGAUGCUCAUCUGAUGAA
Non-coding RNA from Caenorhabditis elegans, 127 nucleotides. NCBI's taxonomy places the organism in Eukaryota, Metazoa, Nematoda, Chromadorea, Rhabditida, Rhabditidae. The record is from Ensembl.